GUGGGGAAUAUUGGACAAUGGGCGAAAGCCUGAUCCAGCCAUGCCGCGUGUGUGAAGAAGGUCUUCGGAUUGUAAAGCACUUUAAGUUGGGAGGAAGGGCAGUAAGUUAAUACCUUGCUGUUUUGACGUUACCGACAGAAUAAGCACCGGCUAACUUCGUGCCAGCAGCCGCGGUAAUACGAAGGGUGCAAGCGUUAAUCGGAAUUUCUGGGCGUAAAGCGCGCGUAGGUGGUUUUGUAAGUUGGAGGUGAAAUCCCCGGGCUCAACCUGGGAACUGCCUCAAAAACUGCAUGACUAGAGUACGGUAGAGGGUAGUGGAAUUUCCUGUGUAGCGGUGAAAUGCGUAGAUAUAGGAAGGAACACCAGUGGCGAAGGCGACUACCUGGACUGAUACUGACACUGAGGUGCGAAAGCGUGGGGAGCAAACAGGAUUAGAAACCCCGGUAGUCC
RNAcentral lists this ribosomal RNA (450 nucleotides) under uncultured bacterium. RNAcentral's name for it is "bacterial SSU rRNA". It matches the Rfam family "Bacterial small subunit ribosomal RNA", at positions 354 to 796 of the family's 1533-position model. The record is from RNAcentral.